Molecule: ribosomal RNA, 160 nt
Filed under: uncultured bacterium
Lineage: Bacteria
Description: partial 16S rRNA
Rfam family: Bacterial small subunit ribosomal RNA
Source: RNAcentral
UGGGGAAUAUUGGACAAUGGGCGAAAGCCUGAUCCAGCCAUGCCGCGUGGGUGAAGAAGGCCUUCGGGUUGUAAAGCCCUUUUGUUGGGAAAGAAAACUUUCCGGUUAAUACCCGGAGAGAAUGACGGUACCCAAAGAAUAAGCACCGGCUAACUUCGUG